RNAcentral lists this ribosomal RNA (320 nucleotides) under uncultured eukaryote. RNAcentral's name for it is "partial 18S ribosomal RNA". It matches the Rfam family "Eukaryotic small subunit ribosomal RNA", at positions 1470 to 1796 of the family's 1831-position model. The record is from RNAcentral.
CCCCUAGAUGUUCUGGGCCGCACGCGCGCUACACUGAACAGUUCAACAAGUCUUAACCUUGGCCGAUAGGUCUGGGUAAUCUUUGAACGCUGUUCGUGAUUGGGAUAGACCUUUGCAAUUAUGGGUCUUCAACGAGGAAUUCCUAGUAGACGCAAGUCAUCAGCUUGCAUUGAUUACGUCCCUGCCCUUUGUACACACCGCCCGUCGCACCUACCGAUUGAAUGGUCCGGUGAAAUCUCGGGACGGCGGCUUGGUCGCUUGCGUCCGACUGCUGAAACUUGAUUAAACCAUAUCAUUUAGAGGAAGGUGAANUCGUAACA